AUGAAACCAAUGGCGGCUGACUGGCAGCAGCGGGUGCCAGAGGUCGCGAGCAGGAUCGAGGUAAUCUUGUUUAGGAGACACCCAAACAAGACGGAGUACUGCAAUAUGGCGAAGGGGGCAAUUCAGUCAUACUUGUACUUCGCUCUCCGGUUCUUGACUGCUCAUCAAAACCAACAACAGCAACAAAGCCAACAAUCCUCAGGACAAAUAGCAUCUUCACCUGGAUAUAUCACCCAAGGUGCAAGUGGAACUUCUAGAAUGUCUUAUGUAACACACAACAUGGAUCCUUCUUCUAGUGCAGGCUUGGUUCCACAGAGUGCGACCAUGGGUACCUCGCUGCCAGGGGGAGCUCCUGAUGAGCAUGUGAACACCACGCUGUCUUUGGGGAUAAACCCUACACAACAUGAUUGGUCUACAGAGUCCAACAACAACAACCUCGUAAGAGCUCUACGCUAUGGUUUACACAUAGCAAAUGUGGUAGUUAGUAUAUCCCUAAAGAUUCAUUUAACACUGCAGCCCAAGCUGACAGAGGCACACCCGGUGCCUCCUAUAAAGGAUCUCCCAAGGAAACCGAGGUUCAUCUGCCCAAUCUGCAAGAACGAGUUGGUCGAUGCGUCAUCAACUAUCUGUGGCCACAUCUUCUGCCAGAAGUGCAUCGAGCCCUCCAUCCAGGCACAGAAGAAGUGUCCUACCUAUCGUAGGAAGCUGCCCAUGAGAAGUUUCCACCGCAUCUACCUCCCGAUGAUGGAC
This 750-nucleotide ribosomal RNA is filed under the name Triticum aestivum (bread wheat). RNAcentral's name for it is "partial small subunit ribosomal RNA". Lineage: Eukaryota; Viridiplantae; Streptophyta; Magnoliopsida; Poales; Poaceae. The record is from RNAcentral.